UAAAAACCUUAUUCUGAAUGUGCUCAAUUAGCACGUAUUAUUUAAUACGUGUAUAUGAAGAGAAAUUUAUAAAUUGAAGUCUUGAAGACCAUAAUAGCAAGAGAAAGUUGGAGGCAUUUAAUGAUUGUUUUCUGCAUUGAAGGUGCAAAGAAAUUGGAAUGGUACCUUUUUAAUUUAUUGUGCAGAAACUUUUGAAGAUUUUGUCAUCCAAAAUAAUAUUUAUAUUGGUCAUCUGAAGUUGUUAAUGCUGUUUUACUGCUUAACAAAACCCCACCUGAUAUUAAUUGUUAACACUUAAUCAGUGAAUCAUGUUUGAUACUGAAUGUAUAGUUUUCAAAACGUAUAUUGAAAUUGACUGUUACUACUUUGCACAGACUGUUAAAUAUUUUCUAAUUAUUUUAAAUUGGACAAUAGCUUGUGUAUCUAUUGUGUCUCCCUAGAGAUGAAAGCACUGCAACAUUCAACAAAGCACAUUAUGUCCCAUAUUCACUAUCUGCUCUAUAUUUUUACGAACACAGUUUACAGCAUUCCACCUCAGCUGUCUAUACAAAAGCAAAUUGCACUUAUUGUUUUCAAGAUGUGUGUAUUUCUUUGGAUGGAGCAUGCAUAUUUUGUUAUAAUUUAAUGUUGUUAUUAACCAGAAGUAAAGUUGAUGGAGGUGAUUGUUUUUGCUGCUACAGAGACAGCAGAGACACCCACUUAUCAGAGGGUCAGAAGCCACUGGAGGAACACUGCCUGAGAUAUCCUUUAAUUUGAAUUGUGGAAGUUGGUUGUUAAAUAACUUGCUCUAUGGGUGUCCAAAGAGCAAGGUUUAUGUUUAUGAAAGGUACACUGAUGCAGUGUAGAAAUGUAAAUUGCUUACUUUCUUAGCAAGGUUUUUUAAACAUGGAUUUGAAUUCAAAAUCAUAAAACAGUAUGUAGCAAGUUCCGUGAGUAUCACGUUUAACACAGGUAUAAAUACACAGGAGAGAUUUGGGAAGAUGGGCGAGACAAACACAAAGACAGGUGGAGACAAGCACAAAGACAGGUGAAACAGAUCAGGGCGUGACAGUAUCCCCCCCCCCCCUAGGGACACCACCUGGCGUCCUACCUGGGCGCAUACCAGGUUGAGAUGGGGCCUGGGUCCAGGAUGUCCCUAGCGGAGACCCAGCACCUCUCCUACUGGAAUCCCCUGCCCCAAGGUCGAACCGAACAGCAGAGGGGCUAAUGAUCUUGGAGUGGGGGAGAGAGGUCUCGGCUUCUGGGGGUGUAGCCGUGGGGCUAUAGCGGCGUGCCAGUGCAUCUGGCUUGACCUUCUUGGAUACCGGUUGGUGCCUGGGUCUUACUGAACCCCUCCCGGAGGUCCUGGUACAACGCGGGGCUGGCGGAGAGGUCCGGGGCACUUCCCAAGCCCCCAGGAAGAUGUCCUGGGACAGGCAGAGCUGACUUCAGGCAAUGCGUGUGGCAGGAUGGGCUCCAGCCCAUGAUGGCACCAGUAGCUCAGUCAAUAGAGGGAUUGUGAUGCUGGAGCCAAGAGAAUCCCAAUACCACGGGAACCUGCGGAGACUCAACUAGCAGGAAUUUGAUCAUCUCGCUGUGGUUCCCUGACACUCGUAGGUUGAUCGGGGUGGUAUGGUGGGUGACCCGGCCUAUUGAGCACCCGUCCAGCACUCUAACAUCCAUGGGAAUGGAGAGGGGUUGAGUGGGGAUGCCCAGCUCAGAUGCCAGGGUAACAUCCAUUAGACUCGCAGUCAAUGAGUACCUGGACAGGCUUGGACUAGUCGUCCCACAGCAGGGUAGCAUGGAGAGGGGGGUGAGUAAGGGGAGAAGAAAAAUGAUAUUUAAGACCCACCAGAGUACUCACGCCAACGAAUGAGCUAGGUCUCUUGAAAGGACAGGUAGACGCAUAAUGACCGUAGUACAGACAACUCUGGGUGUCAAGUCUGUGUAUGCGUUCGGUUGGAGACAGCCUAGCCCUGCCAAGCUGGACUAACUUCCGGGCAGCCUCUCUCCUGGACAACGAAGCUUCAAAAACUUUUUUCACCACCACGAUCCCUCCAGACUGAAGCAUACGGCCGAAUGUUGUUCCCAAACGUCCGUAACCCAAGCGAGAGCCCUCCCAGACAUCAGCGUGAUGAGGUACGCUAUCUUAGAGCGGUCUGAGGGGAAGAGGAAGGCUGCAGCUCCGUGACGAGGGAACACUGAGCGAGAAAUGCCCGACAGGUGCCGACUCUCCAUCGAAGCGCUCCGGGGGAGGUAAGCGGGGUUCCCAGGAAACCGAGGGGAUGGUCCUGCUACCAGGGCUACUGAUGGCUGGGAUGUUACUGUAGGCUGCCUAGUAGACAACCCACAGAAUUGCUCCCGCAAUGUGUCCAAUGCUUGGUCGUGACGUUCGGCCACGGCCUGGAACCCUUCCAUCGGACCACAAAGCAACUCCUUGUGCCUUCAAAUGAUGGCUUCUUGGGAGGCGAGGGCGUUGCGGAUCUGGUCCGAGUCUGCUGGGUCAGUCAUGGCCAGUUCGUGCUAUCACAUUUAAGUUGAAACCGGGAUUCAUACUUGAAGAGCAUACUUCUCCAGCGUGCCAGUGGCCAUCGAAGUUUCAUCAGCUGUCCGAGUGGCUGGUCUCAGACGAUCCUGGAGGUGAUGAAGUCCGUUGUGGAGGUCCUGGGCUGGUGUGGUUACAUGUGGUCUGCGGUUUUGAGGCCGGUUGGACGUACUGCCAAAUUCCUUAAAACGUUGGAGGGGCCCUAUGGUAAAGAAAUUAACAUUCAAUUCACUGGCAACAGCUCUGGUGGACAUUCCUGCAGUCAGCAUGCCAAUUGCACGCUCCCUCAAAACUUGAGACAUCUGUAGCAUUGUGUUGUGUGACAAAACUGCACAUUUUAGAGUGGCCCAGCAUAAGGUGCACCUGUGUAAUGAUCAUGCUGUUUAAUCACCUUCUUGAUAUGCCACACCUGUCAGGUGGAUGAAUUAUACUGGCAAAGGAGAAAUUCUCACUAAGAGGGAUGUAAACACAUUUGUGCACAACAUUCAAGAUAAAUAAGAUUUUUGUGCGUAUGGAACAUUUCUGCGAUCUUUUAUUUCAGCUUAUGAAACAUGGGACCAACACUUUACGUGUUGCGUUUAUAUUUUUGUUCAGUGUAUUAUGUAGGCCUACCUGUUUGAGCUCCUGUUAGACAGAUUCAAUUUAAUUUCUCAAGAGGAGGCUGUACAGUCUUUCCCUCUACCUGUGUCUGUUCAGAUAGGACAUGUUUUAAGCAUGAUACAGAGGCUAUUUCUUUUGGGCAAUUCUUGCGUAUAUUUGCUAAAGCUACUUGUAUUUUUCAUACGAUAUUGUGCUUUCACCACUGGAUAACCAAGAUCUAUAAAUAAAUGUACACUCUGAGCACGUCAUCUUGCCUUGCCUUCUGCUGAUUUCAUGGCCUUAUGACUGAUACAAGGUCCCUAUUUUACAUUUACACAAAAUAAUGAAAAGGGCUGUCUGGUAGACUCAAUAAAUCGCCAAAAUAAUGAAAAGGGCUGUCUGGUAGACUCAAUAAAUCGCCAAAAUAAUGAAAAGGGCUGUCUAGUAGACUCAAUAAAU
Oncorhynchus tshawytscha (Chinook salmon) is the source of this 3562-nucleotide long non-coding RNA. The record is from Ensembl. NCBI's taxonomy places the organism in Eukaryota, Metazoa, Chordata, Actinopteri, Salmoniformes, Salmonidae.